GCGGCGGACGGGUGAGUAACACGUGGGCAACCUGCCCUGCAGACUGGGAUAACUUCGGGAAACCGGAGCUAAUACCGGAUAACACCGAAAACCGCAUGGUUUUCGGUUGAAAGGCGGUUUUUACCUGUCACUGCAGGAGGGGCCCGCGGCGCAUUAGCUAGUUGGUGAGGUAACGGCUCACCAAGGCGACGAUGCGUACCCGACCUGAGAGGGUGACCGGCCACACUGGGACUGACACACGGCCCACACUCCUACGGGAGGCAGCAGUAGGGAAUCUUCCGCAAUGGACGAAAGUCUGACGGAGCAACGCCGCGUGAGCGAAGAAGGUCUUCGGAUCGUAAAGCUCUGUUGUCAGGGAAGAACAAGUGCCGUUCGAACAGGGCGGUACCUUGACGGUACCUGACGAGGAAGCCACGGCUAACUACCUGCCAGCAGCCGCGGUAAUAC
RNAcentral lists this ribosomal RNA (447 nucleotides) under Aeribacillus sp. U22D001. Its description in RNAcentral is "bacterial SSU rRNA". It matches the Rfam family "Bacterial small subunit ribosomal RNA", at positions 95 to 526 of the family's 1533-position model. Lineage: Bacteria; Bacillati; Bacillota; Bacilli; Caryophanales; Bacillaceae. The record is from RNAcentral.